Thalassophryne amazonica is the source of this 109-nucleotide long non-coding RNA. RefSeq lists it as uncharacterized. The transcript has 3 exons. Lineage: Eukaryota; Metazoa; Chordata; Actinopteri; Batrachoidiformes; Batrachoididae. The record is from RefSeq and is a predicted model, not a curated record.
UCAAGGUUGCGGGGUGACAGAGGGUAGGGUCAGGAUAAGCAAAUUGCACAAUUGUAAAAUGCUCAGUGGGCUUUGAAGUCUUAUUUUAGAAUGACUUGAAUUUUAAAUU